ACUCCUACGGGAGGCAGCAGUGGGGAAUAUUGCACAAUGGGCGCAAGCCUGAUGCAGCAACGCCGUGUGAGUGAAGAAGGUUUUCGGAUCGUAAAACUCUGUCCUAAGGGAAGAAACAAAUGACGGUACCUUAGGAGGAAGCCCCGGCUAACUACGUGCCAGCAGCCGCGGUAAUACGUAGGGGGCAAGCGUUAUCCGGAAUCACUGGGGCGUAAAGGGUGCGUAGGCGGCUUAGCAAGCCAGGGGUGAAAGGCAUUGGCUCAACCAAUGUAAGCCUUUGGAACUGUUAAGCUUGAGUGCAGGAGAGGUAAGUGGAAUUCCUAGUGUAGAGGUGAAAUUCGUAGAUAUUAGGAGGAACACCAGUGGCGAAGGCGACUUACUGGACUGUAACUGACGCUGAUGCACGAAAGCGUGGGGAGCAAACAGGAUUAGAUACCCUGGUAGACUGUCA
Molecule: ribosomal RNA, 451 nt
Filed under: uncultured bacterium
Lineage: Bacteria
Description: bacterial SSU rRNA
Rfam family: Bacterial small subunit ribosomal RNA
Source: RNAcentral